AAUUGAGAAGGGAUAAGGAGGUGUGUGGAGAAGGCAAUGGCACCCCACUCCUGGUACCAACAU
This is a microRNA precursor of Bos grunniens (domestic yak), 63 nucleotides long. Lineage: Eukaryota; Metazoa; Chordata; Mammalia; Artiodactyla; Bovidae. The record is from Ensembl.